CUUAGGACGAACGCUGGCGGCGUGCCUAAUACAUGCAAGUCGAACGGUCUUUUCUAUGGAAGCUUGCUUCCACUGAGAAGAUAGUGGCGAACGGGUGAGGUAACACGUGGGUAACCUGCCCAUAAGAGGGGGAUAACAUCCGGAAACGGGUGCUAAUACCGCAUAGUUUUCUUGAUCGCAUGAUCGGGAAAGGAAAGACGGCCUUUGUGCUGUCGCUUAUGGAUGGACCCGCGGCGUAUUAGUUAGUUGGUGAGGUAACGGCUCACCAAGACGAUGAUACGUAGCCGACCUGAGAGGGUGAUCGGCCACAUUGGGACUGAGACACGGCCCAAACUCCUACGGGAGGCAGCAGUAGGGAAUCUUCCGCAAUGGACGAAAGUCUGACGGAGCAACGCCGCGUGAGUGAAAGAAGGUUUUCGGAUCGUAAAACUCUGUUGUCAGAGAAGAACAAGUUGGAGAGUAACUGCUCCAGCCUUGACGGUAUCUGACCAGAAAGCCACGGCUAACUACGUGCCAGCCGCCGC
This 524-nucleotide ribosomal RNA is filed under the name uncultured bacterium. Its description in RNAcentral is "bacterial SSU rRNA". It matches the Rfam family "Bacterial small subunit ribosomal RNA", at positions 23 to 518 of the family's 1533-position model. The record is from RNAcentral.